Molecule: long non-coding RNA, 1064 nt
Organism: Dicentrarchus labrax (European seabass)
Lineage: Eukaryota; Metazoa; Chordata; Actinopteri; Moronidae
Exons: 2
Source: RefSeq, a predicted model, not a curated record
UUUUUUUUUUUUGGGGGAGCGAGAGAGAGAGAGAGGGGGGAGGAGGGGGGAGGACUGCGGGCUAGCAAGCCGGGCAGUCGGCUACCGAUGUCCUGUGACUGAGGGCUCGCUGGUAUUCCUUGAAAUGCGGAGUCUUCCCUGGCGGCCUCAAGUCCCCCUGCAUCGCUUCUACACAUGCGUGAAGUUAGAACGUACCGGACCGAACUUCCGGUCACUGUUUUCAAAAUAAAACCUAUAUAUAUAUAUAUAUACUCUAUGAAUGUGCCACUUUGUUUGUGUGUGUGUGACUACAUUUUUAACAAUAUUUAUGGAAGAUAUAUUACAUAGAUAACAAAUCAAAGUGUUGUGAUGACUUCACAUAACAUCAGUUCACUACGGCAAUCCUGUUGUAGCCUACAUGUGCAUAAGUUGACAUCCGACAUUAAAAUAGAUAUAAUAAUAAAUUGUGUUAAGUAACACAGAAGGUCUGAACCAUCCCUUAGUUAUGCUGCUAUAGGCCUAGACUAUCGGGGGAUUUCCCAUGGUGCACUGAGCUACUCUCUUCCUCUCUCUUUCUGCACUCAUUCAUGUCCCAUUAAUGCAUGUUACUAACUCCACUUCUUCCCCGGAGUUCUUGUGCUUUCUCGUCUCGCAGGUUCUCAUGGAUCCUGGUGGAGCCUCCUGCCAUGGUCCUGCUUGACUGCCAUUGCCAAUACUGUUGUUGCUGUGCACCUGUCUGUCUGUCUGUCUCUCGCUCUCUUCCCUCUCUCUCUCUCUCUCUCUCUCUCUCUCACCCCAACUGGUCGAGACAGACGACCACCCACCUUGAGCCGGAGGAUCUGUCCUAGGUUUCUGCCUUUUAACAGGCAGUUUUUCCUUGCCCUUGUCGCCAAGUGCUUGCUCAUGGUGGUACUGUUGGGUCUCUGUAAUUAAUGUUAAAGAGUUUGGUCUAGACCUGCUCUAUUUGAAAAGUGUCCUGAGAUAACUUCUGUUAUGAAUUGGCACUAUACAAAUAAAAUUGAAUUGAAUUGAAUUGAAUUGAAUUAUAAAGUUCAAACACUGAAUAAAGACUGCAUUUGGUGCCA